Molecule: ribosomal RNA, 253 nt
Filed under: uncultured bacterium
Lineage: Bacteria
Description: partial 16S ribosomal RNA
Rfam family: Bacterial small subunit ribosomal RNA
Source: RNAcentral
UACGAAGGGGGCUAGCGUUGUUCGGAAUUACUGGGCGUAAAGCGCGCGCAGGCGGCUAUCCAAGUCAGUGGUGAAAGCCCGGAGCUCAACUCCGGAACUGCCAUUGAAACUGUUUAGCUUGAGGACGAGAGAGGUGAGUGGAAUUCCCAGUGUAGAGGUGAAAUUCGUAGAUAUUCGCAGGAACACCAGUGGCGAAGGCGGCUCACUGGUCCGAUACUGACGCUGAGGUGCGAAAGCGUGGGGAGCAAACAGG